RNAcentral lists this small RNA (724 nucleotides) under Vigna angularis var. angularis. Its description in RNAcentral is "Non-protein coding transcript". Lineage: Eukaryota; Viridiplantae; Streptophyta; Magnoliopsida; Fabales; Fabaceae. The record is from RNAcentral.
UUGAUUGCUAUAUGCUAAGAUAUAUGGGGAAAAAAUUAAACUGUGGCUGUGUUCACAUGGGGUUAUUUUACGGUUAACGAUGAUUUGGGAGCGAUGAAACGAAGUGAAAGUCGUGUUCGUUUGAUAAGAACCGCGCGGAAGGAAUGGGAGGCAAUUGCGGGAUGAGGACCUUUUUCGUCACCCGGGGGAAAGCGACGAUUUGGAGGGAUCCUAGACGAAAUGUCUCAUGUGCCCCUCAAACAUUUCCAAAUUCCAUGCAUUGAAACCGAAAAUUUGGCUACUGUGCAUCUGAGUUAUUCAAAGCUGUAAAUGGCAGAGAUUCCUGAGGGUUAGCUUAUUACAGGUCUUCAACAGUGAAGAUUCUCUUGAACAGUGAAUAUUCGCUUCAACAUAGACGAUUCUCGCAUGCAUUAGUCACACAAUACAGAGGCACUAGCUUUUGACCGUGUUGAAGAACUAUUAAUAUGUGCUGCGUGUGUGGUUGUGGGGGUCUUAAUUAAUCCAACCAUGACAGCAUUCAGCCAGGAAGAACACCAUUGUGAUGUGCAAGUGAAGGAGGUGCUGCAACUGAGUUUGAGUGCGGAGGAACACACAAAGGUUUGGUGAUACCGUAUUAGUUGAUAUACAUAGACAAGAGGUGGAACGUCCAUAAUCAGUGAUUGUUUGACUACAUUGGUUGGAGUUUCAGUGAAAUCUUUCGUCUUUUUAUUUGAUCAUUUCCACU